AUUGAACGCUGGCGGCAGGCCUAACACAUGCACGUCGGGCUAGCGGCGGAAGGGUGAGUAAUGUAUGGGGAUCUGCCUGAUGGAGGGGGAUAACUACUGGAAACGGUAGCUAAUACCGCAUACCAUCAGAUGAACCCAUAUGGGAUUAGCUUGUAGGUAAGGUAACGGCUUACCUAGGCGACGAUCCCUAGCUGGUCUGAGAGGAUGAUCAGCAACACUGGGACUGAGACACGGUCCAGACUCCUACGGGAGGCAGCAGGGGGGAAUAUUGCACAAUGGGCGCAAGCCUGAUGCAGCCAGGCCGCGUGUAUGAAGAAGGCCUUCGGGUUGUAAAGUACUUUCAGUCGGGAGGCGUUACCGACAGAAGAAGCACCGGCUAACUCCGUGCCAGCAGCCGCGGUAAUAC
RNAcentral lists this ribosomal RNA (406 nucleotides) under uncultured bacterium. Its description in RNAcentral is "partial 16S ribosomal RNA". It matches the Rfam family "Bacterial small subunit ribosomal RNA", at positions 30 to 526 of the family's 1533-position model. The record is from RNAcentral.